Molecule: unclassified non-coding RNA, 210 nt
Filed under: Chaetospermum chaetosporum
Lineage: Eukaryota; Fungi; Basidiomycota; Agaricomycetes; Sebacinales; Sebacinaceae
Description: partial internal transcribed spacer 2
Source: RNAcentral
UAAUCUCACACCCCUAGAUUUAUUCGACGGGCGGUGGACUUGGAUGCUGCCGCGUUAAGCGGCUCGUCUUAAAUGCAUUAGUGCAACUUUUGGUUGGACAUAGUACAGCGUGAUAAGUAUCUUCGCUGGCUCUCCUCACGGAGGUGUUCGAACGUUAAGCUCUGUGCUUCUAAUCGUCCCCUGGUGGACUAAGCUUCGGCUUACUUGACA